RNAcentral lists this ribosomal RNA (253 nucleotides) under uncultured bacterium. RNAcentral's name for it is "partial 16S ribosomal RNA". It matches the Rfam family "Bacterial small subunit ribosomal RNA", at positions 524 to 776 of the family's 1533-position model. The record is from RNAcentral.
AACGUAGGUGGCGAGCGUUACCCGGAUUUACUGGGCGUAAAGCGCUUGUAGGUGGUUUGAUAAGUUGGAUGUGAAAUCUCCGGGCUUAACUUGGAGAGGCCAUUCAAUACUGUCAGGCUGGAGGAUAUUUGAGGGAAGUGGAAUUCCUGGUGUAGUAGUGAAAUGCGUAGAUAUCAGGAGGAACACCCGUGGCGAAGGCGGCUUCCUAAGAUAUUCCUGACACUGAGAAGCGACAGCUAGGGGAGCAAACAGG